This 253-nucleotide ribosomal RNA is filed under the name uncultured bacterium. RNAcentral's name for it is "partial 16S ribosomal RNA". It matches the Rfam family "Bacterial small subunit ribosomal RNA", at positions 524 to 776 of the family's 1533-position model. The record is from RNAcentral.
UACGAAGGGGGCUAGCGUUGCUCGGAAUCACUGGGCGUAAAGCGCACGUAGGCGGCUUUCUAAGUCAGGGGUGAAAUCCUGGAGCUCAACUCCAGAACUGCCUUUGAUACUGGAGAGCUAGAGUCCGGAAGAGGUGAGUGGAACUGCGAGUGUAGAGGUGAAAUUCGUAGAUAUUCGCAAGAACACCAGUGGCGAAGGCGACUUACUGGACACAUAUUGACGCUGAGGUGCGAAAGCGUGGGGAGCAAACAGG